Non-coding RNA from Drosophila virilis, 2014 nucleotides. NCBI's taxonomy places the organism in Eukaryota, Metazoa, Arthropoda, Insecta, Diptera, Drosophilidae. The record is from RefSeq and is a predicted model, not a curated record.
GAGGAGUAGAAAGUUCAUUGUCAAUUGAUUCUUAUGGUUAUACGGAUCGAUGCAAGGACGAGAUAAAUUAAAUUUCUCUUAAACCCUGGCAAGUAUUUUGUGAAUCCUUCGCCUGACUUAAUAUUGAGAAAGAACGUAUUUUUAUAUAUAUGCUAUACAGUUCAUUCCAAAUAUUGAUUCGUUAGUAAAGUAAGUCAAUACAAUGCUUACGAGUAAGGGAGAUAAUUGGAAUGUCACAAACGGUUGCCAAACUUUUUGCCAAUUACAUGAAAUUUAUUCAGCAAAAUGUUUGCGCGUUGAACUAAGCACAUAAACAUAGUAAUAUUUCAAAGUUGGUCCAUUAAUAAUUGAUUAUAGAUCCUUGGCAACAUUAAACGAAUGAAACACACCAAAUCCAGCUGUCAGUUUAAUAACAAUAUUUUGUUGUUCGUACAUACUAUGUGUAAUUAAUUGGCGGUUAUCAGUUUGUUGCCAGCCUGCAAAGUGCCGCAGUCAUUGGCCACGAAUGCAUUAACUGAAUACCCACUACGUCCCAUUAUUCAAUUAAAAUGAAUUGCAUUCUUUAACAGUCGAUUCGGGCAUUAAAUUGAUUCAUUGACGAACAUCCAACCAGUUUUAGCAGCAAUGGAAUUCAAUUUAAUAUUAAUACGCCUUUUGCAGUAGGCAUUGCUGUUUUUAUUUUAUUUUUGCAGGGUAUGCGUUGAAAUACAUUUAUCAGAUUCAUAUUAAAGGCGAAAAUUUAAUAAUAUAUCAGACAAUACUUUGUAAAGAAAAAUCAAUAACAGUAACACUGCGGAAAUUAAAUGCGACAAUCAAUUAAAAAUUGCAAAUGAGCAUUCACGCCCCUCCAGUCAAGUGUAAAAUAUCAGACCCUUAUACGUAACGACAUAUAUCUCUAGAGCUGGCCUUUUUGGCGAAUUGGGGAUCUAUAAUUCCAGUCGAAGUUGUGGAAAACUGGUGAAAAGCGAAGGCUGCAAAUUAUUUUCAAUAAUACUUGUGAAAAUUCAUUUAAGGCUCAUUUUAUAUUUUACCCCAUUUGGUUAAAAGACGCUUGCCCAAGUUUCAUUUUAAUAGCAUUAGGUUAUGGCGAGUGCCCGACUAGGGUUGACCCUGAAUCCGGAGACGGAAUCUGAGAGAUUCCGUUUUGAAAUAAUUUCCAUAUAUUCAAUAUAGCAAAGCACAGGGCUCUGGCGAUAAAUGAGGAAAUGUAAAUUUUCAAACAAAAGUCUGCAGCUCAUAUACCUUAUAAGUUUCCUUUUCUCUGUUGAAUAGAUUUGCACUUAAUUGCAUUGCAAUUGCUUACCCAUUUCAACGUGAGCAGACAAAAAGCAUUUUUUUCUUUAAUUUUUGAUAUUUAGAAACUCUAUUUUGAUUAUAAAUUCCACACACUCAUAAACUUAUAUGAAUACCAAAACAAACUGCAUUCCAUUUGUACUGGUCUUAAGCCUGAAAUUUGUUAAUUGGAAUUCGAAUUUAAAAUCGUACCAUGGAAUGUGUUUAAAUGAACAGGAUUUUCAGUAAAACUCAGAAGCAACAAUUCGGAUUGAGCUGGGGGCUUGAGUGAACACGCCUUGCAAUAUGCGCCAUCUACAUAAAUAUCGUAGUGCAGGCACUCGAGGUUGAGGCCCAUGUUUAUCCGCUUAGGUAAACACAAGCACAGCGAACGCAGCUAGCUGUCUGGUAGGAAAGUCAAAUGAAGCGGAAGAACUUCACGUGCCGCAAUACAAAUUGAAAAUCAAUGAAACCAUGGAAAACUCCGGGCCAACAAUGCACGAUGGGCGGUUCAGCUGUAUGUUUAACCAAUUGAAAUCGCUGUACCAUAAAUCGAAGCUUCACUGCCAAAGUGGCCGUGGGGGCCGUUGUGGCACCAUCAGCGUGAAUUCAAUUGCAUGGUCCGUUUUGACCAUUUGUGGAAAUUCUAUGAAACACAACCAAUGUUUUUAGGCAUUCCAAAGAGAUACAGAUACCAAAUCGAAUAAAGUUUAUAUGAGAGUUUUCUAUGAAAUACAAAAUA